Molecule: small nucleolar RNA, 132 nt
Organism: Hippopotamus amphibius kiboko
Lineage: Eukaryota; Metazoa; Chordata; Mammalia; Artiodactyla; Hippopotamidae
Product: small nucleolar RNA SNORA11
Exons: 1
Source: RefSeq, a predicted model, not a curated record
CAAUUAUACUUGAAUAAGAUAAAUUUUAAAAAUGAAUCGUCUCUGUUUACAACACACCCGACAGGAAUCUGUGUUCAUCAUGACAAGAGGCACAAAGCUUGUGGCUUUCCUAUGAACAAAUACCCAACACGU